RNAcentral lists this ribosomal RNA (461 nucleotides) under uncultured bacterium. RNAcentral's name for it is "partial 16S ribosomal RNA". It matches the Rfam family "Bacterial small subunit ribosomal RNA", at positions 338 to 795 of the family's 1533-position model. The record is from RNAcentral.
CCUACGGGAGGCAGCAGUGAGGAAUAUUGGUCAAUGGACGCAAGUCUGAACCAGCCAAGUAGCGUGCAGGAUGACGGCCCUCCGGGUUGUAAACCGCUUUUAGUUGGGAAUAAAAGGCGGCUCGUGAGCCCCGUCUUGUAGUUACCAUCAGAAAAAGGUCCGGCUAAUUCCGUGCCAGCAGCCGCGGUAAUACGGAGGAUGCGAGCGUUUUCCGGAUUUAUUGGGUUUAAAGGGUGCGUAGGCGGAGCGUUAAGUCAGUGGUCAAAUUGAGGGGCUCAACCCCUUCCCGCCAUUGAAACUGGCGCUCUUGAGUGGAAGAGAAGUAUGCGGAAUGCGUGGUGUAGCGGUGAAAUGCAUAGAUAUCACGCAGAACCCCGAUUGCGAAGGCAGCAUGCCGGCUUCCUACUGACGCUGAAGCACGAAAGCGUGGGGAUCGAACAGGAUUAGAUACCCGAGUAGUC